UACGAAGGGUGCAAGCGUUGUUCGGAUUUACUGGGCGUAAAGCGUCCGUAGGUGGUUUGUUAAGUCAGUGGUGAAAUCCCAGGGCCCAACCCUGGAACCGCCUUUGAUACUGGCAAACUGGAGCGUGAUAGAGGAAGAUGGAAUAUCUGGUGUAGGGGUGAAAUCCGUAGAUAUCAGAUGGAACACCAAUGGCGAAGGCAGUCUUCUGGAUCAUUGCUGACACUGAGGGACGAAAGCGUGGGGAGCAAACAGAAUUAGAUACUCUGGUAGUCCACGCCCUAAACGAUGCAUGCUUGUUGUUGGGUUCCUUCGGGGAUUCAGUGACGAAGCUAACGCGUUAAGCAUGCCGCCUGGGGAGUACGAUCGCAAGAUUAAA
RNAcentral lists this ribosomal RNA (376 nucleotides) under uncultured bacterium. RNAcentral's name for it is "bacterial SSU rRNA". It matches the Rfam family "Bacterial small subunit ribosomal RNA", at positions 524 to 898 of the family's 1533-position model. The record is from RNAcentral.